UAACGGUCGUUACUGUUACUUAACCGUAAACGGCACCGUGAUCGUUACGUGGCUGUAAUGGCCAGCAUUCGUGCAAAUCAAGAUAUACCUUUACAUAACAGCCUAACAGGUAACAGUUCCGCUAAAAACUUGUAAAUAACAGCCGUUAUGUUGUGUAACAGCCGUUAUUUAAAAUCAUGAUUGAAGGUUCAUAAUAAUUAAAAAAAUAUAUUUCUUUGACAUGAAAGAUAUAAAAUUUACUGAUGUAAAUGUUGGACAUAUAAUUUAGGGUGAAGAAAAGUCACAAUUG
This 289-nucleotide unclassified non-coding RNA is filed under the name Hevea brasiliensis (rubber tree). The record is from RNAcentral. Lineage: Eukaryota; Viridiplantae; Streptophyta; Magnoliopsida; Malpighiales; Euphorbiaceae.